This 440-nucleotide ribosomal RNA is filed under the name uncultured bacterium. RNAcentral's name for it is "partial 16S ribosomal RNA". It matches the Rfam family "Bacterial small subunit ribosomal RNA", at positions 338 to 795 of the family's 1533-position model. The record is from RNAcentral.
CCUACGGGAGGCUGCAGUGGGGAAUAUUGCACAAUGGGGGAAACCCUGAUGCAGCGACGCCGCGUGAAGGAAGAAGUAUUUCGGUAUGUAAACUUCUAUCAGCAGGGAAGAAAAUGACGGUACCUGAGUAAGAAGCCCCGGCUAACUACGUGCCAGCAGCCGCGGUAAUACGUAGGGGGCAAGCGUUAUCCGGAUUUACUGGGUGUAAAGGGAGCGUAGACGGCAGUGCAAGUCUGGAGUGAAAGGCGGGGGCUCAACCCCCGGACUGCUCUGGAAACUGUACGGCUGGAGUGCAGGAGAGGUAAGUGGAAUUCCUAGUGUAGCGGUGAAAUGCGUAGAUAUUAGGAGGAACACCAGUGGCGAAGGCGGCUUACUGGACUGUAACUGACGUUGAGGCUCGAAAGCGUGGGGAGCAAACAGGAUUAGAUACCCCUGUAGUC